This 70-nucleotide transfer RNA is filed under the name Dipodomys ordii (Ord's kangaroo rat). It matches the Rfam family "tRNA". From Rfam's summary of the family: Transfer RNA (tRNA) molecules are approximately 80 nucleotides in length. Their secondary structure includes four short double-helical elements and three loops (D, anti-codon, and T loops). The record is from Rfam by way of RNAcentral. Lineage: Eukaryota; Metazoa; Chordata; Mammalia; Rodentia; Heteromyidae.
GGAUGUAGCUCAGAGGCAGAGCACUUGCCUAGAAAGCAUGAGGCCCUGGCUUCAAUCCCCAAUACUGCCA